GACGAACGCUGGCGGCGUGCUUAACACAUGCAAGUCGAACGGUGAAGGGGCCUGCUUUUGUGGGCCCUGGAUGAGUGGCGAACGGGUGAGUAACACGUGAGUAACCUGCCCCCUUCUUCUGGAUAACCGCAUGAAAGUGUGGCUAAUACGGGAUAUUCUGGGUCUGUCGCAUGAUGGGUCUGGGAAAGAUUGCGCCUUUGGGUGGUUUUGGUGGGGGAUGGGCUCGCGGCCUAUCAGCUUGUUGGUGGGGUGAUGGCCUACCAAGGCGGUGACGGGUAGCCGGCCUGAGAGGGUGGACGGUCACACUGGGACUGAGACACGGCCCAGACUCCUACGGGAGGCAGCAGUGGGGAAUAUUGCACAAUGGGCGCAAGCCUGAUGCAGCGACGCCGCGUGAGGGAUGGAGGCCUUCGGGUUGUAAACCUCUUUCGCCAGUGAAGCAGGCCUGCUCCUUGUGGGUGGGUUGACGGUAGCUGGAUAAGAAGCGCCGGCUAACUACGUG
Molecule: ribosomal RNA, 502 nt
Filed under: uncultured bacterium
Lineage: Bacteria
Description: partial 16S ribosomal RNA
Rfam family: Bacterial small subunit ribosomal RNA
Source: RNAcentral